This 27-nucleotide non-coding RNA is filed under the name Homo sapiens (human). The record is from RNAcentral. Lineage: Eukaryota; Metazoa; Chordata; Mammalia; Primates; Hominidae.
UGUGUGUUGCCCAGUGGAUGUUGAGCC